Oryza sativa Japonica Group (Japanese rice) is the source of this 2217-nucleotide non-coding RNA. The record is from RefSeq and is a predicted model, not a curated record. Lineage: Eukaryota; Viridiplantae; Streptophyta; Magnoliopsida; Poales; Poaceae.
GCUUCCCCUCCCCGCCGCCCGCACGCCUCGCUUCUCCUUCUUGGCUUCUCCCCCUCGCACGCGUGUGCGCCGUGGGCCCGCGCUUUCCCUCCCCCUCCGCGCGCCUCGCUUCUCCUUCUCCCUCGCGCACACGCGCACGCCAGCUGCGCCGCUGUCCCGCCAGCCGGCGCACUCGCUUCUCCUCCCCGCGUCGCACUGCCUCCCGCCCUCCCCCAUCCCCCACGCGCCAGCCAUGCCGCGGAGCUGCCUCCGGCCUCUCCCAAUUCUUUCGGCGGCGGCGGCGGCGGCGGCGGCUGGACGUGCGAGCCCAUCGCCAUGGCGGGCGGGAAGAUCCAGAAGAAGCGGCACGGCGGCGGAGGAGGAGGAGGAGGCGGCGGGGGUGAUGGCGCGCGGCUGCAGGGAGGGAUCUCGUUCGACAAGUCCAAGGGGCAACACAUCCUGCGGAAUCCGGCGCUGGUGGACUCCAUCGUCGAGAAGGCCGGCCUCAAGCCCACCGACACCGUCCUCGAGAUCGGCUCGGCACGGGGAACCUCACCAAGCGGCUCCUCCAGGCCGGCGUCAAGGCCGUCGUCGCUACCCCGCAUGGUUCUCGCGCUCAACCGCUGCAUGGUUCCAGUUCUUUAAUCGUUUUCUAAAAUAUAUUACAAGCCUAACUAAUACUACCAUUCUAGGUCCCGCUAAUUUUACAUUACCUUUUUACUCCAGCAUAUGAGGUUAAUAUCUUCCUUCCGAAAUUCUCAGUAUACAAUUCUGUGAGUUGUUUCUUCGUUCUUACAUAUAUGGUGAGUAUUAUAAUCAUUUGGUUAAUUCCUAUUUAUCUUGCAGAGGUAAAUUCCCUUAAGCAAUUCACAAUUCCCAACUGAAUGGUUUACAGAACUUUGCUGAGAUAGCAAAUUGAAGGUAUGCAUAUAUGUCAAAAUCACGUCUUUGCCUCUUGCGAUGGCAUUUGUUUUGCUGUGAUCUUUGAAGGAAGUUAUUCUUUUAAUAUAUGCGUUCGUCAGUAUCCAAAUUAAAUCCAAAAAUAGUUCAUAAAUUUGAUAGAUUUGGAGAAAAGAAUAUUGAUGCCUUCUGUUUUUUUAGUAUUUCUUUAUUUCUAUUACUGAUGUUUUCUUCCAAGCUUCACGCCAACAUAUAUAGGAACUAUGUCAGUCAGUCACAAAAGUACCGAUUUUGAAACAAUACUGCAGUCAGAUAUGCGCUCUCCAUGCUGAUCUCCUUCAGAUUUCAGUAGCCAGAAUUGAUCUGUUCCCCUUCUCCUGAUCGGCUGUUGAGCUACCGAUCAUCUCCCUCUAGGAGCAAAAGCAUUUACUCACCAACAAUGAGCCGUCCAUUACCGCAGGGUGAUCAUCAGCACUGGACACCAAUGGCGGAGCGCCAGAGCCUAUUGGUUAGACCAGAGCAAGCCAAGCCGAGCAGGCGCCACUGGCUGGAGCUGAUGGAAUUACUUUGGUCCGAUCCCCCCACAGGUAUGAUGCGCCAUGUUCUUGACCUGCGUAGCCUCAUCCAGAAACCAGGCUACUAUUUCUGCUGCUACUACUACUACUCCAGUAAGAGUAGACGAUGCUACUACUGAUGAUCUUGCUGUUGCCAUUGCAGUAUAGGAGCUGUAUACCACACUGUUCAAAUACUACGCAGCCUAGAUUCUCCCUGCUCUUAAGCAUCGUGGGUUAAUCUAAUCCACGAUCCAUUUUUAUUUUUAGUCCUGAUAAAACCAACAAAUAUUAUAUGCCAUUGCAGUAUAAGUGGUUUUCUUUGACUAAAUUCUUUUACAGGGCUAUUGCUUUAUUUUUAACACUACACGCUAUACUUUAUUCACUUUCAAUUUGAUGACAGUGUCAAGAAAUCCAUUUAGUUCCCAUUCAUCCACAUGACAAUGUUGAAAAUUGAGUUAAUUUAUGAACUCUGCUAGGAGUCAUUCAAGCGUAUUGGAUGUGGCUUCUAAAAACUGAGGUAUGUAUACCAAAAAAUUUCAGCAUUUCUGUAAUAAUUUUUAGCUUUUGCAUUCGUCCUGUGUUGUUUCCUGCUUGGUCGCUGCAUUGUUGCAGCUGCCCUGUUCGUGCUGAUCUGGAUAUGAGUUUACCUAUCUUUUUACUCCAGAAUUUGUGUUUACUCCAAUUACGAGUUAGUAUAGAAUAGUGGUUAUGUUUUUUUUGUUAUUAUUUCGUUCAGAUUAAUGUUACACAGGAUUUAAACAAGUUUAGUUCAUGAGACUACAUA